This 387-nucleotide ribosomal RNA is filed under the name Sebastes ruberrimus (yelloweye rockfish). Its description in RNAcentral is "partial 12S ribosomal RNA". It matches the Rfam family "Bacterial small subunit ribosomal RNA", at positions 794 to 1384 of the family's 1533-position model. The record is from RNAcentral. Lineage: Eukaryota; Metazoa; Chordata; Actinopteri; Perciformes; Sebastidae.
GCCUAGCCCUAAACCUUGGUAAUAUAUCACAUACCCUACCCGCCUGGGAACUACGAGCACCAGCUUAAAACCCAAAGGACUUGGCGGUGCUUUAGACCCCCCUAGAGGAGCCUGUUCUAGAACCGAUAACCCCCGUUCAACCUCACCCUUCCUUGUUUUUCCCGCCUAUAUACCGCCGUCGUCAGCUUACCCUGUGAAGGCCUAAAAGUAAGCACAACUGGCACAACCCAAAACGUCAGGUCGAGGUGUAGCGCAUGGAGGGGGAAGAAAUGGGCUACAUUCCCUAUAUUAGGGAACACGAACGGCGCACUGAAACACGCGCCUGAAGGAGGAUUUAGUAGUAAGCGGAAAAUAGCGUGUUCCGCUGAAAUCGGCCCUGAAGCGCGC